Molecule: ribosomal RNA, 263 nt
Filed under: uncultured archaeon
Lineage: Archaea
Description: partial 16S ribosomal RNA
Rfam family: Archaeal small subunit ribosomal RNA
Source: RNAcentral
AGACGUCUACAUUAGAUACCCGCGUAGUCCCAGCCGUAAACUAUGCGCGUUAGGUGUAUCGGUGACCACGAGUCACCGAGGUGCCGAAGGGAAACCGUGAAACGUGCCGCCUGGGAAGUACGGUCGCAAGGCUGAACUUAAGGAAUUGGCGGGGGAGCACAACAACGGGUGGAGCCUGCGGUUUAAUUGGACUCAACGCCGGACAACUCACCGGGAACGACAGCAAUAUGUAGGCCAGGCUGAAGACCUUGCCUGAAUCGCUG